AUAGUCCAUUCCCUAAAAAUGGAAGAUUGUAUUAGUCUGCUGUAUACGAAUUCAACCCAUGCAGUGGUUUAGAUGAUUCUUUAUGAAUGAGCGAGAAGAUGGAGGGGGACGAGAGCCGGUAGUGCCUACCCGGCAUAUUUGAGUGGCGUAGCUGAGCAGAGUGCUGAGAGUGAUCUUGCUUUUGGGGUUAGGCAGGUAAUCUUUCAAACUUCCCAGAGGAAGGAAUUCCAUGAUCAACUUGGUGGCCCGACCACCUGCUUGCACACAAAUGAAGAUGGCGG
Molecule: long non-coding RNA, 281 nt
Organism: Syngnathus acus (greater pipefish)
Lineage: Eukaryota; Metazoa; Chordata; Actinopteri; Syngnathiformes; Syngnathidae
Exons: 2
Source: RefSeq, a predicted model, not a curated record